AGCAGCCGCGGUAAUUCCAGCUCCAAUAGCGUAUAUUAAAGUUGUUGCAGUUAAAAAGCUCGUAGUUGAACUUUGGGGUUUACCCAUUGGUCAGGCUUAAUUGUCUGUACUGGUGAGAUAAAUCUCUACCUUCUGAGGAACUUUCAUGCCAUUUAGUUGGUGUGAUAGGAAAUCAGGACUGUUACUUUGAAAAAAUUAGAGUGUUUAAAGCAGGCUAACGUCUGAAUACAUUAGCAUGGAAUAAUGAAAUAGGACGGAUUGGUUCUAUUUCGUUGGUUUCUAGGAUCACCGUAAUGAUUAAUAGGGAUAGUUGGGGGCAUUAGUAUUCAAUUGUCAGAGGUGAAAUUCUUGGAUUUAUUGAAGACUAACUAUUGCGAAAGCAUUUGCCAAGGAUGUUUUCAUUAAUCAAGAACGAAAGUUAGGGGGAUCGAAGACGAUCAGAUACCGUCGUAGUCUUAACCAUAAACUAUGCCGACUAGGGAUCGGACGAAGUUAAUUUUAUAAUUGACGCGUUCGGCAC
Molecule: ribosomal RNA, 520 nt
Filed under: uncultured Diversispora
Lineage: Eukaryota; Fungi; Glomeromycota; Glomeromycetes; Diversisporales; Diversisporaceae
Description: SSU rRNA
Rfam family: Eukaryotic small subunit ribosomal RNA
Source: RNAcentral